UAAUUAAUUCAAGUAGGAUGUUGAAGAAGCUGCAAGACGUUAUGCAUUGUCUUGCAGCUUCUUCAACAUCCUACUUGAAUUAUUGUCG
Molecule: microRNA precursor, 88 nt
Filed under: Megaselia scalaris
Lineage: Eukaryota; Metazoa; Arthropoda; Insecta; Diptera; Phoridae
Description: microRNA mir-241
Source: RNAcentral